Molecule: non-coding RNA, 393 nt
Organism: Nostoc sp. PCC 7524
Lineage: Bacteria; Bacillati; Cyanobacteriota; Cyanophyceae; Nostocales; Nostocaceae
Rfam family: transfer-messenger RNA
About the family: Bacterial tmRNA, also known as 10Sa RNA or SsrA, is named for its dual tRNA and mRNA-like properties. Its role is to liberate the mRNA from a stalled ribosome. To accomplish this part of the tmRNA is used as a reading frame that ends in a translation stop signal.
Source: Rfam
GGGUCCGUAACGGUUUCGACAGGUUGGCGAACGCUACUCUGUGAUUCAGGUCGAGAGUGAGUCAUCUCUCGCAAAUCCAAGGCUCAAAAAAAAAGUAAAUGCGAAUAACAUCGUAAAAUUUGCUCGUAAGCCUGCUACUGUAGCAGUUGCCUAAAAACCUCUCAUAGGUUCGAGCGUCUUCAGUCUGACUCCGUUAAAGGCUAAAGACCAACCCCCAACGGAUGCCCUAGCAAGUAUUCUCUGGUUGACUUGCUAGCUAAGACUUAAUCAGAGUAUCCUACGUUCGGGAUAAUGAACGAUUCCCGCCUUGAGGGUUAGAAAGGCUAAACCUGUGAAUGAGCGGGGGGUCAAUACCCAAUUUGGACAGCAGUUCGACUCUGCUCGGAUCCACUA